UUCUGCACACGUUUAUUGGGAGAGCUUGAUUGCAGAGGCGAAGAGACCCCGAGCCCAGAACUGGUGCUGCUUAUAUAGGCCUAGGAGAGGCGUGUCUCACACCCGGAUUGGUUAUGCACUAAGCCUCAUUUGCAUGUUCCUCAUCUGAUUGGCUACUCUCUUUGUACCUCACAGAGCCUCAUUAUCAUACCUUAUUUGCAUGUCUCACAUCUGAUUGGUUAUACUCCCAAAGCCUCAUUAUCAUGCCCGAGCCAGGCAGUGUCUUUGCAAAAAACUUUACUGCAUAUGUACACAUUGGUUUUUUGUCCAAACUUAUGCAUGGUGGCCAGCAGUAGUCAGUGCCACUGUGCAAAGGCACAUGUGGCUUCCCACAGGUUAGGUGGUGGCAGCUCACACCAGGUUGUAACUGCACCUCCAGGGGAUCUGACACACUCUUCUAGGCUUCUGUCUUCUGGCCCCUUUGGUCACCUUCACUCACCUAUACACAAACCUCUUAUAAAUAUGAACAUGAGCAAAAAGUGUUGCAGGCUGGAGAGUUCGGCCAUUAUGACUGGACAUUGUUCUUGCAGAAGACCUGAGUUUGAUUCCCUGCUCCCACACCGAAUGACUUAAAACUUCUGUAACUCCAGCUCUAGGGGAUCAGACACGCUCUUCUUUCCUCUGCACACAAAUGCAUACCCAGGGAGAGACAUGCGUACAUGUAAAUAACAUUUUAAAGAAAUCCCUGAGCUUGUAGGAGUCACAUCUUAGUGAAUGAACUUGAUCUUCAGAUUCCUCUAAGUCUGAGGGGUUUUCAUUUGUUUGUUGUAUUUUUAAGAUAGGGUCUUACUAUGUAGCCCAGACUUGCCUCUAUCUCAGAGAUCUACCCACCUUUGCUCCCCAAGUGCUGGGAUUAAGGUUGGGGUUUAAGCCCUGUCAGCUUCUUGCCCUGAGUUAUAUUUACCACCCAUCUUACAAUACUGAUUUUGGACUCUUGUCAUCUGAGACAUUCAGGGACCUGAAUACCAGCCAUUCUAGUUUCAUUUCUGUUUCUGUGCUCAAAUGACUUGACCAGGAAAAAAAAAAAAAAAAAAAAAAAAAAAAAAAAAAAAACCUUAAGGGAAAAAGGAUUUAUUUUAGCUCAUAGCUCCAGGUCACAGUCAGUUACUCUGGGGCAGUCACAGGAGGAGCUGCUCACAGGCAGUUUGGGUCCCAGCUCCAUGGUGAGUGGCUCACAAUGACCUCUAACUACAGCAGACCUGAUGCCUACUCUUUAUUAAGAUUUGUAAAAAUUGUGUGUGUGUUUGUGUAUACAUGUGUGCUCAUGCAUCCUAUCAGGUACUCACAAAGGCCAUGUGUGUGAGGGCUAGGAAAAUUAAGAUACCUGUGUAAAAUGCUGUUUAUUACAGCAUUAAAAACAGAUUUCUUUAAAAAUGAUAAUCUGGGGCUAAGAAUGUGGCCCAGCAGGGAAAAUGUUUGCUGUGCAGGCUUGGAGAUUGGGGUUCAGACCCCUAGCACCCUACAUAAGAGCCCAUUGGGCAUGGCUGCUCUGCCUCUUAUCCCAGUUUGUGGGAGGUGGGAACUUAGGUUGGGUCUCCAGAGCAAUCUGGCUAGCCAGAUUAAGAUAGCUAGCUCUGGGUUUAUCAAGAGGUCCUCCUUGGUAUGUAAUGUGAAUAGAGAGAGGAAGACAUCCAAUAUCAACCUUGGGUCUCCACAUGCACACAGGUGAAAGAACACCCAGACACCACAAACAUAUGCAAAUUAACCUACUGGUAGGAAAGGAUUUUGCUGCUGUUAAAUUAUUUGAAUUUUAUUUUUACGCGCGUGUGUGUGUGUGUGUGUGUGUGUGUGUGUGUGUGUAUGUGUAUGUGUGUGCUCGCGCACAUAAAUGUUUACCAGGAUGUAAGAGUAGUGGUCAGAGGACAGUUUUCAGGAAUCAGAGUGAGUUCAAUACCCAGAACUUAUUGAUCAUUAGGCUUGGUGGCAAGCACCUCUACCUGCUGAGCUGUUUUUCUGGCCCUUGCUGUUCAAACAUGUGUGAACUAUAAAUGGCAUGGAUAUUCCUUGUGCCAUGGCUUUGAACGUGGGCUGCUGGGGAAGUGUCUUGUCAAGGUGUGCUGUUACAAUUUCAAGCUGUGUUUUUUUUCCCUCAGGGUACCUCCUGAUAUCUUUUUACUGAGACUUGUUUUUCCAGUUUGUUUUGUAAAUGAGAUAAGUAGGGGCGAGGAAGAUGGCUAAGUCAUUAAAGUAUUUGCUGUGC
RNAcentral lists this long non-coding RNA (2239 nucleotides) under Mus musculus (house mouse). Its description in RNAcentral is "long non-coding RNA chr5:145292769-145295008". The record is from RNAcentral. Lineage: Eukaryota; Metazoa; Chordata; Mammalia; Rodentia; Muridae.